ACUACUACCUAUCGAGGAGGGGGACGUAACCCGGCGAAAGUCGGACUAAUACCGCAUGAAGCAGGGGCCCCGCAUGGGGAUAUUUGCUAAAGAUUCAUCGCUGAUAGAUAGGCAUGCGUUCCAUUAGGCAGUUGGCGGGGUAACGGCCCACCAAACCGACGAUGGAUAGGGGUUCUGAGAGGAAGGUCCCCCACAUUGGUACUGAGACACGGACCAA
RNAcentral lists this ribosomal RNA (217 nucleotides) under uncultured bacterium. Its description in RNAcentral is "partial 16S ribosomal RNA". It matches the Rfam family "Bacterial small subunit ribosomal RNA", at positions 119 to 334 of the family's 1533-position model. The record is from RNAcentral.